AGUGGCGAAAGGGGCAGUAAUGCAUGGGUAACCUACCUUCAGGUCGUGAAUAGCCUAUCUAACGAUUGGGUAAUACACGGCGUGGUCAUUUAGCGGCAUCACCGAAUGACUAAAGAAUUUCGCCUGAAGAGGGGCCCAUGUCGUAUCAGCUAGUUGGUGAGGUAACGGCUCACCAAGGCGAAAACGCGUAGCGGGUGUGAGAGCACGACCCGCGCCACUGGCACUGAGACACUGGCCAGACUCCUACGGGAGGCUGCAGUCGAGGAUCUUUGGCAAUGAGCGCAAGCUUGACCAAGCGACGCCGCGUGUGCGAUGAAGGCCUUCGGGUUGUAAAGCACUGUCGAGGGGGAGGAAGCCGCAAGGUUGACCUAUCCCUGGAGGAAGCACGGGCUAAGUUCGUGCCAGCAGCCGCGGUAAGACGAACCGUGCGAACGUUGUUCGGAAUCACUGGGCUUAAAGGGCGCGUAGGCGGGUUCACAAGUCUGUGGUGAAAUCCUCCAGCUUAACUGGAGAAGUGCCAUGGAUACUGUGGGUCUUGAGGAGGGUAGGGGCAUCUGGAACUGCCGGUGGAGCGGUGAAAUGCGUUGAUAUCGGCAGGAACUCCGGUGGCGAAGGCGAGAUGCUGGAUCCUUUCUGACGCUGAGGCGCGAAAGCCAGGGGAGCAAACGGGAUUAGAUACCCCGGUAGUCCUGGCCCUAAA
This 700-nucleotide ribosomal RNA is filed under the name uncultured bacterium. RNAcentral's name for it is "bacterial SSU rRNA". It matches the Rfam family "Bacterial small subunit ribosomal RNA", at positions 94 to 806 of the family's 1533-position model. The record is from RNAcentral.